This 461-nucleotide ribosomal RNA is filed under the name Weissella confusa. RNAcentral's name for it is "bacterial SSU rRNA". It matches the Rfam family "Bacterial small subunit ribosomal RNA", at positions 338 to 795 of the family's 1533-position model. Lineage: Bacteria; Bacillati; Bacillota; Bacilli; Lactobacillales; Lactobacillaceae. The record is from RNAcentral.
CCUACGGGUGGCAGCAGUAAGGAAUAUUGGACAAUGGGCGGAAGCCUGAUCCAGCCAUGCCGCGUGAAGGACGAAGGCGCUCAGCGUUGUAAACUUCUUUUGGAUGGGAACAAUAACCGAGACUUGUCUUGGCUUGAGGGUACCAUCAGAAUAAGCACCGGCUAACUCCGUGCCAGCAGCCGCGGUAAUACGGAGGGUGCAAGCGUUAUCCGGAAUCACUGGGUUUAAAGGGUGCGUAGGCGGCCCGAUAAGUCAGUCGUGAAAUCGCUGGGCUCAACCCAUGCAAUUGCGAUUGAUACUGUUGGACUUGAAUUAGGUUGAGGCUGGCGGAAUGCGACAUGUAGCGGUGAAAUGCUUAGAUAUGUCGCAGAACACCGAUUGCGAAGGCAGCCAGCUGGGCCUGUAUUGACGCUGAGGCACGAAAGCGUGGGGAGCAAACAGGAUUAGAUACCCUAGUAGUC